Molecule: ribosomal RNA, 253 nt
Filed under: uncultured bacterium
Lineage: Bacteria
Description: partial 16S ribosomal RNA
Rfam family: Bacterial small subunit ribosomal RNA
Source: RNAcentral
UACGUAGGGACCGAGCGUUGUCCGGAUUCAUUGGGCGUAAAGAGCUCGUAGGCGGCUGCUCAAGUCGAAUGUGAAAACUCGAGGCUCAACCUCGAGCCUGCAUUCGAUACUGGGCGGCUAGAGUCUGGUAGGGGGAUCUGGAAUUCCUGGUGUAGCGGUGGAAUGCGCAGAUAUCAGGAGGAACACCGGUGGCGAAGGCGGGAUCCUGGGCCGGUACUGACGCUGAGACGCGAAAGCGUGGGGAGCGAACAGG